Molecule: long non-coding RNA, 934 nt
Filed under: Triticum aestivum (bread wheat)
Lineage: Eukaryota; Viridiplantae; Streptophyta; Magnoliopsida; Poales; Poaceae
Description: long non-coding RNA (TAES_LNC017761)
Source: RNAcentral
UCACAACACACUCAAGAAAAAUGGAGACAAGUGUUUUGGCGUCAUGCUGCCUCUCACAGCUCGACCUUUUCUUUCUGCCUCUUCAAAUAAAUAUGAUUACAGAAUAUAUAGCAGCCCAUCUCAGACCACUACCUCCUAAACGCACGCCAUACUCCAACACAAUGACACAAUGACCAACAUGCACAUGCACAUGACUGGAUAACAAGCUCCACGAACUAACUGGCUGACGCAUCAACGAUUCACUCGUCUGGGAACACUGCAGGACGUUGGCUCUAGGACUGGAUCACACAGGUUGUCACGCUCCACCUCCGGCCGCAUUGCACGGCUAGCUCCGCAUCCCACCUCCUGUAUGCUCAAGUGAAGUUCAACCUGGAUACAAUGCCCUAGACCAUCUCGACUACAUGCAUGUACGAAAUCAAACUAAAAUGCAGAUACAUGGAAUCAAGAUUAAAGCCAACAGGACCGACAAGAAUCAGCAAUAUCAGAGCUACAGGAGAGAUAGCCGAGGAAGCAUGAAGAACCUGCACAAUGGACCAGCUUGUUUAAUUAAGAAGCAAAUCACUCCUGGAUUUCCAUAAAUGAGAGCAUGGAAAUGAUUUAGCAACAGAGAUACCAGGAUGAUUAGAAUUAAGCAUGGAGGAAAUAUAGAGGCGCCAGGAGCAAAAACAUCUGAUCUAAAGCCUAAAUAAGAGAACCAGACUGGUCUAGCAAAGGGGCAAUGGAACAUAUGAGCAUCUGAUUCACGGAGGCAUCGGAUAGGAUGCAUCCUUUCAAAAUAUGUCUAGAUGCUCUCUUACCAGUUGCUAAACCCCACCUUAUAAGUCUCCAUGCAGAAGGGCUUGAGGGAUGGUUUGAUCCUUCCAAGAUGCAUUAGGAGUAUGAUUUUCUUGAUACGAAGGACCACAAGUAGAUGCGCGGAUUCCAGCCAUGGCUC